RNAcentral lists this long non-coding RNA (815 nucleotides) under Cyanistes caeruleus (blue tit). RNAcentral's name for it is "lncRNA (ENSCCEG00000012814.1)". The record is from RNAcentral. Lineage: Eukaryota; Metazoa; Chordata; Aves; Passeriformes; Paridae.
CAAAAACUGUUACAUCAAUUAUGCUAUUUUUGCACUUAUUUAUUAUAUUUUUGCACAGUUCCUGUGGAAGAUAACCCAAGAACAACCAUACAGAGGUGAGAUUCAGCACAUUGACAAGGAGGUGACCACUGACUAUGGGAUCAGCCCAACAGAGGCCAGUGCCAUACUGGUCAGCCAGAAGAUGAAGCUUCACCCUUCUGUCCAGGCUACCUCUUUUACUGAGGCAGUAGAGUGGGCUGAGGAGCAUCUGUGACAAGCUGUACUUCAGAAGUGGAUAUUGCCCUGCCUUAGAGGUAAGAGAUAUUUUCUGCCAGUUUUGUGUUUGUGUGUGAAAUGUGCAAAUGAUGAAUGGUGUCCACUUGCAGAGCAUUUCCUCUGCUGAAGGAUCCCAAAGCUCUUCACAAAAUUGUUCACAUGUAGGACUGCUGAAAUUCAGCUAAACUCCUCUUGAGAAGCUCUGGAGUUUGUUCUCUUAAAACCCACAUAAAAACAAGUUUUCAGUUUUUCAAGUCUGACUUGAAGACAAAGUUGGAAUUACAAAUCUGCAGGCACUACAUUUCCUUUCAAAGAAGGGAAAAAGCAGAUGGAGUUGUUUUUUGCGUGUGCUUAAAAACAAUGAAAACUUGUCGAUAUUUUUCAUUUAAAUUUUCAUGAAGAGCUAAGAAACUCUGCUGGAGGGGGUAGGAAAAUGUUGUGACUUUUACUGGCAGAGGACUGUUUGAAUGGUUAUUGACAAAGAGCACAGUGCACAAAAUGUGCUUGGGCUAAGCAGAGUGAAGAUGUUUGACAUAUUGGCAAUGCAGCACAGGGUCAGG